Molecule: ribosomal RNA, 253 nt
Filed under: uncultured bacterium
Lineage: Bacteria
Description: partial 16S ribosomal RNA
Rfam family: Bacterial small subunit ribosomal RNA
Source: RNAcentral
UACAGAGGUCUCAAGCGUUGUUCGGAUUCAUUGGGCGUAAAGGGCGCGCAGGCGGCCCGGAAAGUCGGAUGUGAAAACUCGAGGCUCAACCUCGAGCGUGCACCCGAUACUGCCGGGCUUGAGGCAGGUAGGGGAGAUCGGAAUUCCUGGUGUAGCGGUGAAAUGCGCAGAUAUCAGGAGGAACACCGGUGGCGAAAGCGGCUUACUGGGUCUCUUCUGACGCUGAGGUACGAAAGCAUGGGGAGCGAACAGG